This 425-nucleotide ribosomal RNA is filed under the name uncultured Alphaproteobacteria bacterium. RNAcentral describes it as "bacterial SSU rRNA". It matches the Rfam family "Bacterial small subunit ribosomal RNA", at positions 958 to 1385 of the family's 1533-position model. The record is from RNAcentral. Lineage: Bacteria; Pseudomonadati; Pseudomonadota; Alphaproteobacteria.
AACGCGAAGAACCUUACCAGGGUUUGACAUCCUGCGACCGCUCUCUAAUAGGAGUUUUCCCGCAAGGGACGCAGAGACAGGUGCUGCAUGGCUGUCGUCAGCUCGUGUCGUGAGAUGUUGGGUUAAGUCCCGCAACGAGCGCAACCCUCGCCUUUAGUUGCCAUCAUUCAGUUGGGCACUCUAGAGGGACCGCCGGCGACAAGCCGGAGGAAGGUGGGGAUGACGUCAAGUCCUCAUGGCCCUUACACCCUGGGCUACACACGUGCUACAAUGGCGGUGACAGUGGGCAGCUACUUCGCGAGAAGCGGCUAAUCCCAAAAAACCGCCCCAGUUCAGAUUGUACUCUGCAACUCGAGUACAUGAAGGUGGAAUCGCUAGUAAUCGCAGAACAGCAGGCUGCGGUGAAUACGUUCCCGGGCCUUGUA